This is a long non-coding RNA of Rhincodon typus (whale shark), 3133 nucleotides long. RefSeq lists it as uncharacterized. Lineage: Eukaryota; Metazoa; Chordata; Chondrichthyes; Orectolobiformes; Rhincodontidae. The transcript has 3 exons. The record is from RefSeq and is a predicted model, not a curated record.
CUGAGUAAAUAUUACCUGGAACUGCAUGGUAACGUACAGCAAAGCAUACACCGCUCGCCAUCACUUCGCGUGUUGUGGAAAUCGUGACCUCUUCUAAUUCGUGUUUGAACCAACGGCGACUUUUGUGUGUGUGUGUGUGUGUGGAGUUUUGGUGGUGGAAGGGGCUGGGGGUUGGUUGUUCUGCGGAAGGGGUGAACGUAAAGUGAAGCGAAUUUAACGAUAACAAGCGAAACGCCUGCUUGAAUGCGGCAGGAAGGAUUGGCUUCCAGGAAGAGUGGGGAAAAUGUGGUGAGAGCGUGUGGAGGACACGGGCGAUUGCACGGAAAUCAAUAUUGAACUGUUGACCCUGCAGUAGAGUGUUCCCUGCAUACCACCUUUUUGCAUCCAAUUUGCUUCACUCUAAAGGAUGAAACUAUGGGUCUGAAACAAUCCUGUUUGGGCGGCUGCAGAUUAUGUUUGCAAGGUGAAUGUGAUAGAAGCCGCAGUUCAGUGGAGAGUCAUCUCCAAGUCCCUGAUAUCAUAAUAACGCCUCCAACACCCACGGUUCUCUCAACACCCGGCAGCUUGAAACAGGCUGACAGGGACUCGCUGCUAGAUGACACUCUCCCAAACAGAUGUUAGCUGCAAAAAAGCCCUGAUAUUUAUGCAAAAGCCCAAGCACCAAGAUCACAUCAAGAAUGUUUCUUGUUUGAAGAAGCGUUAAGAACAGAUUGCACAGCAACCAUCUGCCUCAUUUCACUUGGUGUGUGAAUGAUAAACUAUACACAGAUUUAUCUACCAAUCUGUUUUUUUUUAAAACUUUUAAAACAAGUUUUGAUGACAAUAGCAAUAUAGAGUUUGGAUUAAAAACUUAAAACAUCUGCAAAAAAUUACUGUCUGCCAUGUUUAACUGCUUUGCACUGUCUCUUAACUCUCCUGCUUUCUGUUGUGUCUUCACACACUAUGAGAAAAGCCCCUUUCAAAAAUACCAUUCGAAGAUUAAAAGUGCAAAUUUUUGCAGUUGCCCUUUUAACUAAAGAGGAAUUCUGCACCAAUUACACACACAAAUAGUCCAAUCUCAAACUCCCAAAUUACAUCCUGGUAUCUUGUUCCAACUUCAUAGAACAAGCUCCAGAGACAACCAAAGAUGUUUUCAAUAACGCAGUGAGAUUAUCAACAUGCAAAGAUUAUCAAGGAUCUGUAAAUGAAGACCAGAUGGAGUGUCAUUUCAUCCUGAUACUGUUGAUGCCUAAAGGAAUUUUUAAUGGAGAGGCAGGCAGAUGGAAAUUCUUAAUUCAUGAUGACAGCCAACAGAUGGCAAAAGGCAUUAUCUACAACUGCAUGAUUCCAGAGACAGAUUCUUUAAAAAUGUCAGCAACCAAAUGGAAAACAGUGCCUUUCAAUUCACACUGCCUCCCCUAUCCAUCAGAAAUGGAAAUCCGAUCGCAUUUUUUAGGUCAAUGAGAACUAGACUUGAGCUCUAGUGCUACACACCAGUAAAUAUGAAGUUAGCCAUGCUCAGAGGCAAAUGUGAAGACCCAUUGCAAUCUAACCUGAAUUGGGAACAAUACCGGGAUCGAAGGGAUAAUUUUGUGGAGAAGGCAAUUUGUGGAGUUAGAACUCACGCUUUUAAAAUCUCUGCAUUUUUAAGAUUGAAACUAUGUUCCUUCUGUAGUAUUUCUUAAGGAUUUUCAAAAAUGUCCUGAGUUGCAAAUGCAGUGGGCCGAGGUAUGGUACUAAAUCACACUGAGUAGGAAGAUCCUCUGUUGCUGUCCCUGGUCUUAGUCUGAGCAAUUUGGGUGUCAGCCAUAAUUCAGGUGGUACUCUCUUGCUGCAGCAUGCAGGAUUGUUAGUUCAAAUUCCACUCCAGAAAUUGACCUCAAAUUUAGGUUGGCACUGCACUGCAACACUGUGGGAGUGCUGCAUUGUCAGAGGUGCAGUUUUCGGGUGAGACAUUAAGCCAAAGCCUGGUUUGCCCUCCUCAGGUGCAUUGCAUAAGCUCCCAGGGCACUAUUGUGAAGAGGCAGAGGGAGAUAUCCCCAUGUCCUGGCCUAUAUUGAUGUUACAAAUAGAAUAUAGAUUAUUUGGUCAUUACCACAUUGCUGUUCUGUGCACAAUUUGGCUGCCAUGUUUCUUACAGUAAACAGUGGCCAACUCUUCAAAAUUACUUAACUGCUAGAAAUAUAUUUUGGAUUACAUAUAUUUGUUUCUUUUUUAUACAUAUGGAGGUUUGGUUUUUUUCCUGCUACAAUUGGAAUCAGUGCCUCUCAGUCAAAAGGGGAAAGAAUAUCAGCCUGAGUUACUGUUUGAUACUCUCUGAGUGAUGUGGGUAGACGGGGAUAGGAUAAUGUCAGGAUCAGAUUCACCUGAGAUGCCUACCAUGAUUGAAUUGCCUGCUGUAAGUGACUAUCCAGACUUGAGCAGAAAGGAUGCUCAUUUCAUUGUGCUGAGGUACUGUGGCUCAGAAAGCAUUACUUUAAAGUGACAGGUGGAAAUUUUUAAAAAUUCCACUCUCUUCACAAUCACACUGGCUCAUUCAGUCUGCCCCCUCUUUUUUAAAAUUGGAUUGUUAUCGCUUUAUUGACGAAGUAUGCACCUUAAAUUUGAUUUGAAGAAAUUUCUAUGUGGUAUCAUUAAAACAAAUGUAACAACUUCAGCUUUUCCUCAACAGUUUGAGUGUUAAUGGGAUUUAUGUUAGCAUAUUAAGAACCUCUUAAUGAAAUGGCUUCAUGUUACACUGAUAGGUGCCAGCUACAUUACAGCAACUGCCUCACAAUGCACAAACUGCAUGUGGUGGACAGGAUUGGAUUUAACUGUGAUACCUCCUAGAUUGAAACCAGUUGUUUAGUCUGACAUGAAAAAUAGCUAUUUAAGUGGAUGCAUGGCACUUCCAGGAGACAAAGGCACGAAAUGGGAACUGUUCUUUAAAUCAGACCAUGAUCCAAUGCUAUAAAUGAAGGUAGCUAUCCAAUACAUUUCCUCCCAUGUGCUUUACAAAAUCAUGAUAUUUGUAUACUGUGCCAUUAACUGAGUGUACUUUUCAACUGUUCCUGUGAGUGAUUCAUUUCCUGAUCUGACAUUGCAAAUUGUUUAUGGUUUUUGUAAUGAUGGAUAGCAUCAAUGUUGUAAUAAAGGCAACAGCGCUUCUUUUUAA